UGUCGUCAGCUCGUGUUGUGAAAUGUUGGGUUAAGUCCCGCAACGAGCGCAACCCUUAUCCUUUGUUGCCAGCGGUCCGGCCGGGAACUCAAAGGAGACUGCCAGUGAUAAACUGGAGGAAGGUGGGGAUGACGUCAAGUCAUCAUGGCCCUUACGACCAGGGCUACACACGUGCUACAAUGGCGCAUACAAAGAGAAGCGACCUCGCGAGAGCAAGCGGACCUCAUAAAGUGCGUCGUAGUCCGGAUUGGAGUCUGCAACUCGACUCCAUGAAGUCGGAAUCGCUAGUAAUCGUGGAUCAGAAUGCCACGGUGAAUACGUUCCCGGGCCUUGUACACACCGCCCGUCACACCAUGGGAGUGGGUUGCAAAAGAAGUAGGUAGCUUAACCUUCGGGAGGGCGCUUACCACUUUGUGAUUCAUGACUGGGGUGAAGUCGUAACAAGG
This 446-nucleotide ribosomal RNA is filed under the name Escherichia coli. Its description in RNAcentral is "bacterial SSU rRNA". It matches the Rfam family "Bacterial small subunit ribosomal RNA", at positions 1050 to 1496 of the family's 1533-position model. Lineage: Bacteria; Pseudomonadati; Pseudomonadota; Gammaproteobacteria; Enterobacterales; Enterobacteriaceae. The record is from RNAcentral. RNAcentral also lists the same sequence under 1 other name.